ACAGACUGAAAAUGACCCCGGAUGUGUCAGUGGUCCGGGGUCAGAUAACUGUGCCUAUAGUACUUUGGUGCGUUAAGCUUAUUACGUGCGUCUCCCGGUGGCAUCGUGAUAAAACCCAUGUACCAACAAAC
This is a small nucleolar RNA of Thunnus maccoyii (southern bluefin tuna), 131 nucleotides long. RefSeq annotates it as small nucleolar RNA ACA64. The transcript has a single exon. Lineage: Eukaryota; Metazoa; Chordata; Actinopteri; Scombriformes; Scombridae. The record is from RefSeq and is a predicted model, not a curated record.